CAGUCGCCGCGGGAAUACGUAGGUGGCGAGCGUUGUCCGGAUUUAUUGGGCGUAAAGGGAGUGUAGGCGGUCUUUUAAGUCUGAUGUGAAAGCCCACGGCUCAACCGUGGAGGGUCAUUGGAAACUGGGAAACUUGAGUGCAGAAGAGGAGAGUGGAAUUCCACGUGUAGCGGUGAAAUGCGUAGAGAUGUGGAGGAACACCAGUGGCGAAGGCGACUCUCUGGUCUGUAACUGACGCUGAGGAGCGAAAGCGUGGGGAGCGAACAGGAUUAGAUACCCCGGUAGUCCCUGUCUCUUAUAC
Molecule: ribosomal RNA, 301 nt
Filed under: uncultured bacterium
Lineage: Bacteria
Description: partial 16S ribosomal RNA
Rfam family: Bacterial small subunit ribosomal RNA
Source: RNAcentral